Molecule: ribosomal RNA, 1554 nt
Filed under: Klebsiella pneumoniae
Lineage: Bacteria; Pseudomonadati; Pseudomonadota; Gammaproteobacteria; Enterobacterales; Enterobacteriaceae
Also listed under: 1 other name
Description: bacterial SSU rRNA
Rfam family: Bacterial small subunit ribosomal RNA
Source: RNAcentral
ACUUAAAUUGAAGAGUUUGAUCAUGGCUCAGAUUGAACGCUGGCGGCAGGCCUAACACAUGCAAGUCGAGCGGUAGCACAGAGAGCUUGCUCUCGGGUGACGAGCGGCGGACGGGUGAGUAAUGUCUGGGAAACUGCCUGAUGGAGGGGGAUAACUACUGGAAACGGUAGCUAAUACCGCAUAACGUCGCAAGACCAAAGUGGGGGACCUUCGGGCCUCAUGCCAUCAGAUGUGCCCAGAUGGGAUUAGCUAGUAGGUGGGGUAACGGCUCACCUAGGCGACGAUCCCUAGCUGGUCUGAGAGGAUGACCAGCCACACUGGAACUGAGACACGGUCCAGACUCCUACGGGAGGCAGCAGUGGGGAAUAUUGCACAAUGGGCGCAAGCCUGAUGCAGCCAUGCCGCGUGUGUGAAGAAGGCCUUCGGGUUGUAAAGCACUUUCAGCGGGGAGGAAGGCGGUGAGGUUAAUAACCUCAUCGAUUGACGUUACCCGCAGAAGAAGCACCGGCUAACUCCGUGCCAGCAGCCGCGGUAAUACGGAGGGUGCAAGCGUUAAUCGGAAUUACUGGGCGUAAAGCGCACGCAGGCGGUCUGUCAAGUCGGAUGUGAAAUCCCCGGGCUCAACCUGGGAACUGCAUUCGAAACUGGCAGGCUAGAGUCUUGUAGAGGGGGGUAGAAUUCCAGGUGUAGCGGUGAAAUGCGUAGAGAUCUGGAGGAAUACCGGUGGCGAAGGCGGCCCCCUGGACAAAGACUGACGCUCAGGUGCGAAAGCGUGGGGAGCAAACAGGAUUAGAUACCCUGGUAGUCCACGCCGUAAACGAUGUCGAUUUGGAGGUUGUGCCCUUGAGGCGUGGCUUCCGGAGCUAACGCGUUAAAUCGACCGCCUGGGGAGUACGGCCGCAAGGUUAAAACUCAAAUGAAUUGACGGGGGCCCGCACAAGCGGUGGAGCAUGUGGUUUAAUUCGAUGCAACGCGAAGAACCUUACCUGGUCUUGACAUCCACAGAACUUAGCAGAGAUGCUUUGGUGCCUUCGGGAACUGUGAGACAGGUGCUGCAUGGCUGUCGUCAGCUCGUGUUGUGAAAUGUUGGGUUAAGUCCCGCAACGAGCGCAACCCUUAUCCUUUGUUGCCAGCGGUCCGGCCGGGAACUCAAAGGAGACUGCCAGUGAUAAACUGGAGGAAGGUGGGGAUGACGUCAAGUCAUCAUGGCCCUUACGACCAGGGCUACACACGUGCUACAAUGGCAUAUACAAAGAGAAGCGACCUCGCGAGAGCAAGCGGACCUCAUAAAGUAUGUCGUAGUCCGGAUUGGAGUCUGCAACUCGACUCCAUGAAGUCGGAAUCGCUAGUAAUCGUAGAUCAGAAUGCUACGGUGAAUACGUUCCCGGGCCUUGUACACACCGCCCGUCACACCAUGGGAGUGGGUUGCAAAAGAAGUAGGUAGCUUAACCUUCGGGAGGGCGCUUACCACUUUGUGAUUCAUGACUGGGGUGAAGUCGUAACAAGGUAACCGUAGGGGAACCUGCGGUUGGAUCACCUCCUUACCUUAAAGAA